This 140-nucleotide microRNA precursor is filed under the name Solanum tuberosum (potato). RNAcentral describes it as "MIR7993 microRNA precursor family". It matches the Rfam family "MIR7993 microRNA precursor family". Lineage: Eukaryota; Viridiplantae; Streptophyta; Magnoliopsida; Solanales; Solanaceae. The record is from Rfam by way of RNAcentral.
UUAGGUUAACCACAUAAAAUAUGUCGAUCUUCUUUAAUCGUAUGCAUUCGCCUCAAUAAGUCAUAAAACCUUAUGUGUUUUCUACGUAAGGUUGAUGCGUAUAAUUAAAGAAUGUUAUAUUUUAUGUGAUUAACCUAACU